GUCAAAUCAUCCAUGCCCCUUAUGAUUUGGGCUACACACUGUGCUACAAUGGCGUUAACAGAGGGAACGCGAAGGAGUGAUCCGGAUGCGAAUCCCAAAAACACGACGUCCCAGUUCGGACUGUAGUCUGCAACCCGACUACACGAAGUCUGGAAUCGCUAGUAAUCGCAAAUCAGCAUGCUGCGGUGAAUACGUUCCCGGUNUCUUGUACAC
This 213-nucleotide ribosomal RNA is filed under the name uncultured bacterium. RNAcentral describes it as "partial 16S ribosomal RNA". It matches the Rfam family "Bacterial small subunit ribosomal RNA", at positions 1184 to 1388 of the family's 1533-position model. The record is from RNAcentral.